UUUGUUGUUCACCACAAUAUCCCAAAUUUGACUGAUAAUAAGUUUAUGGUUAAUUUUAGUAACAUGUAAUUUAUGGUUACGAAUAUAUUAAUCAGUAGUUUUUUAACACAUGGAGCAAUUUAAUGUAGUUAAAUGGAUGGUUUUCUUGUUUAUGUUUAGCUUAUCCAAUUCCCAACGUAGAAUCUUAAAUGGACAUGUAGUUGAAGGCGAGAAGCCCUACAUGGUUUAUUUACUUAAAAGUCCAGAAUCACACGCACGCUACCUAGGGUGGACGUGUGGUGGUGCAAUCGUACAUCCUUUACACGUCCUCACUUCUGCUACUUGCGUAAGAGACGUAUAUAAUGUCUUUGUAAUCUCUGGAAUGAAAAAAUAUAUAAAUGAGAAAGAAAUGGACUUCCACCCAUGUACCAACAGAAUA
Molecule: long non-coding RNA, 418 nt
Organism: Hyposmocoma kahamanoa
Lineage: Eukaryota; Metazoa; Arthropoda; Insecta; Lepidoptera; Cosmopterigidae
Exons: 3
Source: RefSeq, a predicted model, not a curated record